This is an RNA transcript of Aethalodelphis obliquidens (Pacific white-sided dolphin), 343 nucleotides long. It is a transcript of the gene named protein transport protein Sec61 subunit gamma pseudogene, with no coding region annotated. Lineage: Eukaryota; Metazoa; Chordata; Mammalia; Artiodactyla; Delphinidae. The record is from RefSeq and is a predicted model, not a curated record. The transcript has a single exon.
GCUUCCGGUUCUGGUGGGCAUUUGUCUGUUGGCUGUUGUGCUACGUGUCUUUGGCUUGUGAGCGGAUGGUGGGCAGGCAUCAUGGAUCAGGUAAUGCAGUUUGUUGAGCCAAGUUGGCAGUUUGUGAAGGACUCAAUUCGGCUGGUUAAAAGAUUCACCAAACCUGAUAGAAAAGAAUUCCAGAAGAUUGCCAUGGCAACAGCAAUAGUAUUUGCUAUAAUGGGAUUCACUGGCUUUUUUGUGAAAUUGAUCCAUAUUCCUAUUAAUAACAUCAUUGUUGGUGGCUGAAUACCUUUGUAGAAAAGUGUUUUUCAUCUUGUGGAUUGGUGAACAAGUAAGGAUU